This 490-nucleotide ribosomal RNA is filed under the name uncultured bacterium. RNAcentral describes it as "partial 16S ribosomal RNA". It matches the Rfam family "Bacterial small subunit ribosomal RNA", at positions 28 to 507 of the family's 1533-position model. The record is from RNAcentral.
GAUGAACGCUAGCGGCAGGCCUAAUACAUGCAAGUCGAACGGGAUCCAGAUCAAAGCUUGCUUUGGUUUGGUGAGAGUGGCGCACGGGUGCGUAACGCGUGAGCAACCUACCCUUGUCAGGGGGAUAGCCCGGCGAAAGUCGGAUUAAUACCGCAUGACAUCAUUGAGAGGCAUCUUUCGAUGAUCAAAGAUUUAUCGGACAAGGAUGGGCUCGCGUGACAUUAGCUAGUUGGUAAGGUAACGGCUUACCAAGGCUACGAUGUCUAGGGGCUCUGAGAGGAGAAUCCCCCACACUGGUACUGAGGCACGGACCAGACUCCUACGGGAGGCAGCAGUAAGGAAUAUUGGUCAAUGGACGGAAGUCUGAACCAGCCAUGCCGCGUGCAGGAAGACGGCCCUAUGGGUUGUAAACUGCUUUUAUACGGGAACAAACGUCGGUACGUGUACCGGUCUGAGUGUACCGUAAGAAUAAGGAUCGGCUAACUCCGUG